RNAcentral lists this ribosomal RNA (503 nucleotides) under Klebsiella pneumoniae. Its description in RNAcentral is "partial 23S ribosomal RNA". It matches the Rfam family "Bacterial large subunit ribosomal RNA", at positions 1399 to 1888 of the family's 2925-position model. Lineage: Bacteria; Pseudomonadati; Pseudomonadota; Gammaproteobacteria; Enterobacterales; Enterobacteriaceae. The record is from RNAcentral.
AGGCCGAAAGGCGUAGUCGAUGGGAAACAGGUUAAUAUUCCUGUACUUGGUGUUACUGCGAAGGGGGGACGGAGAAGGCUAUGUUAGCCGGGCGACGGUUGUCCCGGUUUAAGCAUGUAGGCUGGUUAUCCAGGCAAAUCCGGAUAAUCAAGGCUGAGGUGUGAUGACGAGGCACUACGGUGCUGAAGUAACAAAUGCCCUGCUUCCAGGAAAAGCCUCUAAGCAUCAGGUAACAUCAAAUCGUACCCCAAACCGACACAGGUGGUCAGGUAGAGAAUACCAAGGCGCUUGAGAGAACUCGGGUGAAGGAACUAGGCAAAAUGGUGCCGUAACUUCGGGAGAAGGCACGCUGGUGUGUAGGUGAAGUCCCUGCGGAUGGAGCUGAGACCAGUCGAAGAUACCAGCUGGCUGCAACUGUUUAUUAAAAACACAGCACUGUGCAAACACGAAAGUGGACGUAUACGGUGUGACGCCUGCCCGGUGCCGGAAGGUUAAUUGAUGGG